UGUGUGUUCGUGAACGAGCAGGAAGGCUCCCAUGGAGCCAAAAACCCUAAACUUCAUCAAGUUCUUCAAAUUGAAAGACGAAACGAAGCCCAAAUUCACAACCAAACAUAAAUUAACAAUCACCUUCACAAGGGGAUCACAAGCAUGUACGGAUAGGAGUCAUGUCAACAUGGACACAAGCAUGGAAGGGCAACGGGCCAAAAAUAAACACGGAAGCUAUGCUUGAACUCGGACGCACGAGGCUGUACAGGGUUAUGGAAAUUUCAUCAAGAAGUGUACGCGGUCGAAGAUCGAGUCAAGUCAUGGAUUGUACGUGGGUCUGUAUGUGGUCACUUAAUUUGAUAUAUGUAUGUUAGUUUUCAUUAAUUUAUAAAAAAAGAUUAAUGUAUUUAAGUGAAUUGAAGAGUAUCAUGAAAGAAAUUUUACAUAUGCGUUU
Long non-coding RNA from Helianthus annuus (common sunflower), 436 nucleotides. RefSeq lists it as uncharacterized. NCBI's taxonomy places the organism in Eukaryota, Viridiplantae, Streptophyta, Magnoliopsida, Asterales, Asteraceae. The record is from RefSeq and is a predicted model, not a curated record. The transcript is spliced from 3 exons.